CACGGUUUGAACCUAGUGUUAACCGUGUUAGUGGCGGACGGGUGAGUAACGCGUGGGCAACCUGCCCCAUACCGGGGGAUACCAGCCGGAAACGGCUGCUAAAACCGCAUAAGCGCACAGUACCGCAUGGUACAGUGUGAAAAACUCCGGUGGUAUGGGAUGGGCCCGCGUCCGAUUAGCCAGUUGGCGGGGUAGCGGCCCACCAAAGCGACGAUCGGUAGCCGGCCUGAGAGGGCGGACGGCCACAUUGGGACUGAGACACGGCCCAAACUCCUACGGGAGGCAGCAGUGGGGAAUAUUGCACAAUGGGGGGAACCCUGAUGCAGCGACGCCGCGUGAGUGAAGAAGUCAUUCGUGAUGUAAAGCUCUAUCAGCAGGGAAGAAAAUGACGGUACCUGACUAAGAAGCCCCGGCUAACUACGUGCCAGCAGCCGCGGUAAUACGUAGGGGGCAAGCGUUAUCCGGAUUUACUGGGUGUAAAGGGAGCGUAGACGGCAAUGCAAGUCCGGAGUGAAAGCCCGGGGCCCAACCCCGGGACUGCUCUGGAAACUGUAGAGCUGGAGUGCGGGAGGGGCAGGCGGAAUUCCUAGUGUAGCGGUGAAAUGCGUAGAUAUUAGGAGGAACACCGGCGGCGAAGGCGGCCUGCUGGACCGAAACUGACGUUGAGGCUCGAAAGCGUGGGGAGCAAACAGGAUUAGAUACCCUGGUAGUCCACGCGGUAAACGAUGAUUACUAGGUGUCGGGGGACGA
Molecule: ribosomal RNA, 750 nt
Filed under: uncultured bacterium
Lineage: Bacteria
Description: bacterial SSU rRNA
Rfam family: Bacterial small subunit ribosomal RNA
Source: RNAcentral